CGUCUCAGACCGUAUCUUCAUGAAUUUUGUUUGUGAAACUUUGUGCACAUUUAGAUACAACGUGUAUCUUCCCCUAAAAAAAGAGAUACAACACGUAUCUACAAUGGUGCAAAAAUGCAAUCCCAAAUUUCAAACAAAUCUAGAGAAAAUAAAAUAAGGCAAACCACAAAAUUCCACCCGAUCUAGACAACCUCCAAGCACCGAGCCGCAACCACCGCCGCCAACACAACAUCGUGGCUAUUCCAGCUGUCGCCAACACCAUCGGGACCGACAACACCAGCCAUCCAUACCGCCAACCACUUGUCGUUGCGAGAUCACCAGCCCGCAAAGCGCGCACAACACGAAGCAGUCAACAUAUCAUGUUGUUGUCGGCUCCGCACGGGCUUUGCUCGCGACGGCGAGAGGGAGAAGACAUUGAACGGUUGUUCGGUGGGGCAGUGAGGUUGCUGCCCGUGUCCCCCUAGGGAGAGGGUGAUGUCGGGGACUCCAUCUAAAGCUCUAUUGCCC
This 507-nucleotide long non-coding RNA is filed under the name Hordeum vulgare. RNAcentral's name for it is "long non-coding RNA (HVUL_LNC014895)". The record is from RNAcentral. Lineage: Eukaryota; Viridiplantae; Streptophyta; Magnoliopsida; Poales; Poaceae.